This 1077-nucleotide ribosomal RNA is filed under the name Triticum aestivum (bread wheat). Its description in RNAcentral is "partial small subunit ribosomal RNA". Lineage: Eukaryota; Viridiplantae; Streptophyta; Magnoliopsida; Poales; Poaceae. The record is from RNAcentral.
AUGGUGUGUUUCUGUACCAGCGACGGCACCAACCAGCCGCAGCUUCCCGGUGGUUCCCCGAGCACCUCCCCGCGCACGGCCUCGCCCCCCUGGCGCUCCGACCCUCCGGUGGCGCCGGCCCGUCGUCGCGCGGCCUUGCUCCCAGCCGUGGCGCUGCUCCACCAUCGCGCCGUCUCUGCCCGAGCCCGGCCUCAAUCGCCAUUGCUGCUCCUGCCCACGGCCCCGCCGCCGUUCCGGUCUGCCUCCGCGCUGCUGUGCUUUGGCGAUGCUCCAGCCCCGUGUCCGCGCCGGCUUCGUGCCCCGACCCCAUCACAGCUUCCCCGCGACCCAGCCUGCGUCGGGCCGGCUCCGCUCGUGCCUCGGCCGAUCUCUCUCGGGUCGUGUCCGCGCCGGCUUCUCCUCCCGUACGACUGGCCAGUUCGCCGCCCUGAGCGCCGUCUCCGCCAUGCUCAGCCGCCUCGCCACCCACCCGCGCGAUGGACCCGGCCCGCCGGCUUCGCUCCACCAGCCGGGUUCUCCACCCCAGCGGCUGGGAAGCCGCCCUGCGCCCCGUUGCCGUCUCCACCAACAACGCCCAUCGGCGCCUUCGCACGCCCCGUGCCGACUGCCGCUCGCUCCGCGCCGGCUCCACGCCUCUGCGUGCCUGCGCCGGCUCCGCCCCGCACUCGGCCGCAUCGCUGUUGCCCCGGCCGCCGGCUCCCACGCCCGGCCUGCUCCGCCCCCGGCCGCGCCGGUGUCCGUCGCCACGCCUCCGGCCGCUUCCCCGUGCCGGCCCCGCCUUGCCUCCCGCGCCUGCUUGCGGCUUCGCCACCCGCCUUCUCCGCCGCGACCCGGACGGCCGGCUUCGCCGCCCACCGUCUCCGCCGCGACCCGGACGGCCGGCUUCGCCGCCUGCCAGCUCCCCCGCAGCCGGCCUCCCCUGCCGCCGGCUGGUGCGCUCCCGGUCCAGCCACCUGUUGCGGCCGGGUGCCCGGAGAAAAAAGCAGAAGGCCGGUUGGCCACUCGGCUAAAAAAGAAAAAAGAAAGGGCAUGGCCGGCUGGAGAAAAGUCUACGGGCCGGCUGCUAAAAGAAAAUAA